Molecule: ribosomal RNA, 429 nt
Filed under: Bacteroidota bacterium
Lineage: Bacteria; Pseudomonadati; Bacteroidota
Description: Bacteroidetes bacterium partial 16S ribosomal RNA
Rfam family: Bacterial small subunit ribosomal RNA
Source: RNAcentral
UAGGGAAUCUUCCGCAAUGGCCGCAAGUCUGACGGAGCAACGCCGCGUGAGUGAAGAAGGAUUUCGGUUCGUAAAACUCUGUUGUUAAGGAAGAACGAGUGUGAGAAUGGAAAGUUCAUACUGUGACGGUACUUAACCAGAAAGGGACGGCUAACUACGUGCCAGCAGCCGCGGUAAUACGUAGGUCCCGAGCGUUGUCCGGAUUUAUUGGGCGUAAAGCGAGCGCAGGCGGUUAGAUAAGUCUGAAGUUAAAGGCAGUGGCUCAACCAUUGUAGGCUUUGGAAACUGUUUAACUUGAGUGCAGAAGGGGAGAGUGGAAUUCCAUGUGUAGCGGUGAAAUGCGUAGAUAUAUGGAGGAACACCAGUGGCGACGGCGACUCUCUGGUCUGUAACUGACGCUGAGGCUCGAAAGCGUGGGUAGCAAACAGG